This 1452-nucleotide ribosomal RNA is filed under the name uncultured bacterium. RNAcentral's name for it is "16S ribosomal RNA". It matches the Rfam family "Bacterial small subunit ribosomal RNA". The record is from RNAcentral.
AACGCUGGCGGCGUGCCUAACACAUGCAAGUCNAACGCUUUUUUCGAGAGGAGCAAUCUUUUCGAGAAGGGAGUGGCGAACGGGUGAGUAACACGUGGGUGACCUGCCCCGAGGCGGGGGAUAACGCGACGAAAGUCGAGCUAAUACCGCAUAAGCUCCCGGCUUGUGCCGGGAGGAAAGCUUCUGCAAGGAGGCGACUGGGGAGGGGCCCGCGGCCGAUUAGCUAGUUGGCAGGGUAAGAGCCUACCAAGGCCGCGAUCGGUAGCCGGUCUGAGAGGACGGACGGCCACACUGGAACUGAGAGACGGUCCAGACUCCUACGGGAGGCAGCAGUGGGGAAUUUUGCGCAAUGGCCGCAAGGCUGACGCAGCAACGCCGCGUGGAGGAAGAAGGUCUUCGGAUCGUAAACUCCUGUCGGAGGGGAAAAACAAGGUGAUGGUACCCUUCGAGGAAGCCCCGGCUAACUCCGUGCCAGCAGCCGCGGUAAUACGGGGGGGGCAAGCGUUGUUCGGAAUUACUGGGCGUAAAGGGCGCGUAGGCGGCCCUCGCAGUCUUGGGUGAAAGUCCUCGGCUCAACCGGGGAAGGGCCUGAGAAACCUGGGGGCUGGAGUGCUGGAGAGGGAAGCGGAAUUCCCGGUGUAGCGGUGAAAUGCGUAGAAAUCGGGAGGAACACCAGCGGCGCAGGCGGCUUCCUGGACAGACACUGACGCUGAGGCGCGAAAGCUAGGGGAGCAAACGGGAUUAGAUACCCCGGUAGUCCUAGCCGUAAACGAUGGACACUAGGCGUAGGGGGUGGAAAAGUCCCUCGGUGCCGACGGCAACUCGCUAAGUGUCCCGCCUGGGGAGUACGAUCGCAAGAUUGAAACUCAAAGGAAUUGACGGGGGCCCGCACAAGCGGUGGAGCAUGUGGUUUAAUUCGACGCAACGCGAAGAACCUUACCGGGGUUUGAACUGCUCCUGCGACCUGGAGAGAUCCGGGGUUUUCCUUUGGAGACGGGAGCAGAGGUGCUGCAUGGCUGUCGUCAGCUCGUGUCGUGAGAUGUUGGGUUAAGUCCCGCAACGAGCGCAACCCUUGUCGGUAGUUGCUACCAGGUAGAGCUGAGCACCCUAUCGAGACUGUCGGCGAAAAGCCGGAGGAAGGUGGGGAUGACGUCAAGCCCUCAUGGCCUUUAUGCCCCGGGCUACACACGUGCUACAAUGGGCGCGACACAGGGGAGCCAACCCGCGAGGGAGUGCCGAUCCCAAAAAAGCGCUCACAGUUCGGAUCGCAGUCUGCAACUCGACUGCGUGAAGGUGGAAUCGCUAGUAAUCGCGGAUCAGCAUGCCGCGGUGAAUACGUUCCCGGGCCUUGUACACACCGCCCGUCACAUCACGAAAGUGGACGGUACUAGAAGUCGCUGGUCUAACCCGCAAGGGAGGCAGGCGCCGACGGUGUGGUCCAUGAUUGGGGUG